UACGUAGGGUCCGAGCGUUGUCCGGAGUUACUGGGCGUAAAGCGCGCGCAGGCGGCGCGGUAAGCAUGGCGUGAAAGCCCCCGGCUCAACCGGGGAGGGUCGUCGUGGACUGCCGUGCUUGAGGGCGGUAGGGGCUGGUGGAAUUCCCGGUGUAGUGGUGAAAUGCGUAGAGAUCGGGAGGAACACCCGUGGCGAAGGCGGCCAGCUGGGCCGACCCUGACGCUGAGGCGCGAAGGCGUGGGGAGCGAACGGG
Molecule: ribosomal RNA, 253 nt
Filed under: uncultured bacterium
Lineage: Bacteria
Also listed under: 2 other names
Description: partial 16S ribosomal RNA
Rfam family: Bacterial small subunit ribosomal RNA
Source: RNAcentral